AGAGUUUGAUCCUGGCUCAGAUUGAACGCUGGCGGCAUGCUUUACACAUGCAAGUCGAACGGUAACAGGUCUUCGGAUGCUGACGAGUGGCGAACGGGUGAGUAAUACAUCGGAACGUGCCUAGUAGUGGGGGAUAACUACUCGAAAGAGUAGCUAAUACCGCAUGAGAUCUACGGAUGAAAGCAGGGGACCUUCGGGCCUUGUGCUACUAGAGCGGCUGAUGGCAGAUUAGGUAGUUGGUGGGGUAAAGGCUUACCAAGCCUGCGAUCUGUAGCUGGUCUGAGAGGACGACCAGCCACACUGGGACUGAGACACGGCCCACACUCCUACGGGAGGCAGCAGUGGGGAAUUUUGGACAAUGGGCGAAAGCCUGAUCCAGCAAUGCCGCGUGCAGGAUGAAGGCCCUCGGGUUGUAAACUGCUUUUGUACGGAACGAAAAGCCUGGGGCUAAUAUCCCCGGGUCAUGACGGUACCGUAAGAAUAAGCACCGGCUAACUACGUGCCAGCAGCCGCGGUAAUACGUAGGGUGCAAGCGUUAAUCGGUAUUACUGGGCGUAAAGCGUGCGCAGGCGGUUUUGUAAGAGGGUGGUGAAAUCCCCGGGCUCAACCUGGGAACUGCCAUUGUGACUGCAAGGCUAGAGUGCGGCAGAAGGGGGGAUGGAAUUCCCGCGUGUAGCAGUGAAAUGCGUAGAUAUGCGGAGGAACACCGGAUGGCGAAUGCCAUUCCCCUGGGUCUGCACUGACGCUCAUGCACGAAAGCGUGGGGAAGCAACAAGGAUUAGAUACCCCUGUACUCCCACGCCCUAACGAUGUCCACUGUGGGUUUGUGGUCAUUAACCUGACCUCAGUAAACGAGCUAACGCGUGAAGGUCGACCGGCCUGGAGGAAGUACGCCGCUAUGAUUGCAUACUCAUGUAGUUGACGGAUCGUCAUAACGGUGAGAAGAUAUGAUCUGUCCUAUAAAAUCUG
This 969-nucleotide ribosomal RNA is filed under the name uncultured bacterium. Its description in RNAcentral is "bacterial SSU rRNA". It matches the Rfam family "Bacterial small subunit ribosomal RNA", at positions 9 to 873 of the family's 1533-position model. The record is from RNAcentral.